UAGUCGCAAGCAGGUUGUUAUUCCGUAUCAGCUGGAAGGCUCGUACAGUAAUCUUGUUCGAACACGGAAUCACUGUUGAAGUUAACGACAGCGUAAACUUGAAAAGUGGUGUGCAUUUUUACUUCGCUGGAGUUUUUGGACUAAAACCCGUGAAACAUGUCUUGCUGCAAAGGCCCCGGGUAUGCCUCGCCCCUGGACGCCAUGAGAAACGGCCCGCGGGAGGAGAUCGUCUACAUUCCGUGUAUAAUUCCGCCCAAGGACCAGAGCAAAAGGACGGACUAUCUCUCCACAGUGGACGUCAACCCUGCCUCCAAAACCUACGGACAGGUGAUUCACAGGAUGUACCUGCCGUAUGUCGGAGACGAGAUUCACCACACGGGAUGGAACGCGUGUUCUAGUUGCCAUGACGACGAGUCCAAGUCACGUAACCGCUUGAUCAUGCCGAGUUUGAACAGUGAUCGGGUGUACGUCGUGGACACUGGGACGGACAAAUACGCUCCCCGAUUACACACGACCGUUGAGCCUGAGGAGAUGCACGCGGUGAACGCAUCUACGCCCCACACGACGCACUGUCUUGCUUCCGGCGAAAUCAUGAUUUCAACCAUGGGCGACAAAGACAAGAACAACAGAGGAGGCUUCGUGGUGCUCGACGGGGAGACCUUCCGUAUCAAGGGGAACUGGGAGGUCGGCGGUGGCACGGAGUUUGGCUACGACUAUUGGUACCAGCCCUACCACAACGCCAUGAUCAGCACGGGCUGGGGAAGUCCAAAGGCAUUCUUUAAAGGUUUCGACCCCAAGGAUGUUGAAAACGGCAAGUACGGGCGGCACUUGUAUUUCUGGAAUUGGACUGAACACAAGCUCAUCCAGACGAUAGACCUGGGCCCUACCGGCUGGAUACCCCUGGAGACUCGCUUCCUGCACGACCCCCGUGAGCCCCAGGGUUACGUGGGAUGCGCGUUAAGCUCGACUGUGUUCAGAUUCUUCAAGAAACCCGAUGGCUUGUGGGGAGCAGAGAAAGUGAUCGAUGUCCCUAGUAAGAAAGUGGAGGGCUGGAUGCUUCCGGAAAUGCCCGGCCUCAUCACAGACGUAAUCUUGUCCCUGGACGACCGCUUCCUCUACUUCUCCAACUGGAUCCACGGAGACAUCCGCCAGUAUGACAUCACCGAUAGGCGUAACCCAAAACUUGUCGGACAGGUUUGGCUGGGCGGAAGUAUCUGCAAGGGCGAGGGAGUCCGUGUUAUCGAUGACCCGGAACUCAAGAGCCAGCCGGAACGGCCAUUAAUCAAGGGGAAGCCGAUCGUGGGAUCGCCUCAGAUGUUACAGCUUUCACUGGACGGCAAACGCCUAUAUGUGACCACUUCUCUCUUCACGCCCUGGGACAAACAAUUCUACCCGGACAUGUGCGAGAAAGGUUCCAUGCUCCUGAUCGUGGACUGUGACACCAAGAAGGGCGGCAUGUCCCUCGACACGAACUUCCUGUGUGACUAUGGCAACGAGCCCGGCGGUCCCGUCCUCGCUCACGAGAUCCGCUACCCCGGGGGAGACUGUACUUCCGAUAUCUGGCUCGCUGAGCCGGAAACUGCGCAGAAAGCGUAAAUGUUCAGCUGAGUUGGAAAUGACGUCAUGAAAAUAUAACACAUGAUGACGUCAUCACACCAUUGAACACUUCACGUCGGCAACCACGAUUUGAAGUUAAUUCUUACUGGAUAGAGAUCAUUUAAAAUAAAGAAGAAGAAAAAAGCUACUAGAACGCAUGCGUUGUAUGUGUUUUUUUAUGAAACUCUUAAAAAACUUGAAUAUUUCCAGUGGACAUAGUCGAAGUCAACUAAGGCAUGAAGAAAUGUUAGUUUCCACAAACACGACCGACCCUAUUUUCCCCGUAGUUUUUUUUGUAUUUCGUAAUUCCCUAAAGGAAUUUUCCCCUUUUAUAUUUUAAAAUAUCUACAAAAGGGACGCACCCUGAUAUAGUUCGAUUUUGAACAGAAUCCCUGUUCUCAAAAAACAAACAAAAAAAAACUGAAAAAAAAAACUACCUACCAUAUUUUAUUUGGAGACGUUAGUGGAAGUCAAACUAAGAAGUUUUUGGGGGCCCUAUGUUCUGAACUGCCAAAAUUUGGAUCAAACGUGUUCUUAGUUAAAUUUUCACAUCCAACGUUCAAACAAUUGUGCGAUCAUAGUUUGUUUCCAUGUGUUGUCUUCGUGUGCAAGUAUGCAUCUAAACAAAUGACCACCAGGAUGUUUUAUAUUAUGUUAUAUAUAAUCAGUAAUUCUAUAGCCCUUUAUUGUGUUACAAGGUAGUGUAUAGUCUUUUUUAACUAUCAUACCACUUGGUACUUUUAAAAGUAUAUUGUAUUAUUGUUUUUUGUCUUAAAAAAAAACAUAACAAUAAAUAGCUUACAAAGUAUUGAAUUAUUUUCUCCAUUAUUUUAAUAGCAUAAUUAUAUGUAACUAUAUUUUAAAGAUAUAACAAUGAAUAGCUUAUAAAGUAUUGAUUUUUUCCCAUUAUUUAGCAUAAUUAUAUGUAACUAUAUUUUAAAUAUAUUACAAUAAAUAGCUAACAAAG
RNA transcript from Mya arenaria, 2563 nucleotides. It is a transcript of the gene named methanethiol oxidase-like, with no coding region annotated. NCBI's taxonomy places the organism in Eukaryota, Metazoa, Mollusca, Bivalvia, Myida, Myidae. The record is from RefSeq and is a predicted model, not a curated record. The transcript has 13 exons.